UGGGGAAUCAUGGUCAAUGGGCGAAAGCCUGAACCUGCAACGCCGCGUGAGUGAUGAAGGUUUUCGGAUCGUAAAGCUCUGUCUUUGGGGAAGAUAAUGACGGUACCGCCAGAGGAAGCACCGGCUAACUCCGUGCCAGCAGCCGCGGUAAUACGGAGGGUGCAAGCGUUAUUCGGAAUUACUGGGCGUAAAGGGCGUGCAGGCGGGAGAGCAAGUCUGAUGUGAAAGCCCGGGGCUUAACCCCGGAAGGGCAUUGGAAACUGCUUUUCUUGAGUUCUGGAGAGGAAGGGAGAAUUCCCGGUGUAGAGGUGAAAUUCGUAGAGAUCGGGAGGAAUAUCAGUGGCGAAGGCGCCCAUCUGGACGGUAACUGACGCUGAGACGCGAAAGCGUGGGGAGCAAACA
RNAcentral lists this ribosomal RNA (402 nucleotides) under uncultured prokaryote. RNAcentral's name for it is "bacterial SSU rRNA". It matches the Rfam family "Bacterial small subunit ribosomal RNA", at positions 355 to 774 of the family's 1533-position model. The record is from RNAcentral.